CGCUAUUAUUGAUACAGUUUCUGUACUAUAUUG
RNAcentral lists this unclassified non-coding RNA (33 nucleotides) under Trypanosoma cruzi. RNAcentral's name for it is "trans-spliced leader sequence". RNAcentral also lists the same sequence under 1 other name. The record is from RNAcentral. Lineage: Eukaryota; Euglenozoa; Kinetoplastea; Trypanosomatida; Trypanosomatidae.